CAGCGUCACGAGUGGCAACCAUAUUUAUUGGGCCUAAAGCGUCCGUAGCCUGUUUGAUAAGUCUUUUGUGAAAUCGUUGCGCUCAACGUAGCGUUGUGCAAGAGAUACUGUCAGACUUGGAAUUGGGAAGAGUUAGAGGUAUUCUGGGGGGAGCGGUAAAAUGCUAUAAUCCCUGGAGGACCACCAGUGGCGAAAGCGUCUAACUAGAACAACUUCGACGGUGAGGGACGAAAGCCAGGGGAGCAAAACGGAUUAGAUACCCGAGUAGUCC
RNAcentral lists this ribosomal RNA (271 nucleotides) under uncultured archaeon. RNAcentral's name for it is "partial 16S ribosomal RNA". It matches the Rfam family "Archaeal small subunit ribosomal RNA", at positions 477 to 747 of the family's 1478-position model. The record is from RNAcentral.